Long non-coding RNA from Seriola aureovittata, 967 nucleotides. RefSeq lists it as uncharacterized. The transcript is spliced from 2 exons. Lineage: Eukaryota; Metazoa; Chordata; Actinopteri; Carangiformes; Carangidae. The record is from RefSeq and is a predicted model, not a curated record.
CCUGAGGAGGGGGUCGCGCCUCACUGCUCUCCUCAGAGAACAUGGAGCUUCUACCUGCAAACAAACAUUCAAACAAACUACCAUCACCGACGUCUCCAGGUCUCCAAACCACCUGCAACAUGUUUGUCUCACUGCAGCUGCUGCUUCAACAUCAAACACCGACCACAAGAAUGAUUAGUUUUACAGAGUAAAUUCACAGUGUGGAUCAGACUGGUUCCUGCUGGGGUUUAAAUGUUGUUUAAAGCAGAAAUAAAUGAUAUUUUUGUAAGUAAACACAGGAUGCGUUCAGGUACAGCAGGAAACAGGGAGAAGUUUGAGGAAUAUAGUGUAAACAACUGUUUUCUUAUAGUGUAAUUAAAGAGUAAAACAGGUUCACGUCGUAUUACUGACCCUUUACUUUCAGUAACAAACAUUAAUGUUGCGUGGAAGAAAUGAAAAACAGAAUAAAGUCAUGUAUAAUAAAACAUAUAGACGUAGGAGGAUCAAACAUGACUUUAAUAUUUCAUGAGGAAGAUGCUGAUUUUUUAUUUCAUUUCUUUUGAUUGUUUGUUUCUUGAUUAUUUUACUCUUUAAUUACUCAAUCAGAAAACACUAAUCCCCCCAAACUUCUCCUUUGUUCCCAGUACUGCACCUGUAGUCUCCAGGUGUUAUUACUAUUAUCAUCAUUAUCAUCAUUAUUAUUAAAAACAUCUGAAUGUGACACAGCAUCUGUUUCAUAUUCUAAAUAUUUGUAUUUUCUGUUUUCUUUGGUGGUUGAAUGUGUUGUUAUGAUCUGAUCAACUGGGAAAUGUAAUUACUUUGAUUAUUUGCUGUAAAUCGGUUUCAAACUAAGAAAUUUACAAAGACAGAAAAGUUCUGCAAAAUGAUUUCUGUGACAACUGGGAAAACAAUCUGUUGAGGAAGACUGUGUGAUGUGAUCAAAAGCUCUGGAGCAGGAGUAAAGAAAUAAAGUUUUAUUAUUAAUGUA